UUUAAGGCCCAUGAACAGCACGAAGUUAUAUUACUGAGAAUUCUCAAUUUUCUUUCUGGUAGACUUACCUGGAGAAACCGCCCCUAUCGAUCCACCGUUCACGGCAGAGAGAGGUCUGCUUUUGCCUUUCACUUCUUUCUAUCUCGACAGAUCCUGUCGAUCUUCGAUUUUUUGCCUUGCUCGAUUCGAUUCCGUACUGCGAUUUUUUUCUUCCCGGAGGUAUUUUUUUUUUAUGAUCUGAGGGAGGAAAUCUCGUAGCCUCGUUUUUUGCAGUCUUUUUAUUUUUGCAAUAAUUUAGGUUUUAUUCGUUUGUAUUGUUAUGUAUUCUGAUUUUGAUCUAAAUUCAUUCCGAUUUUGCAUUCUUCAUUAUGAUUUUUCUUCUUGCAUUUUGAGAUUUCAUUUGAACAUCAUUAGGAUUCGUGAUUAGAUUUCUUCUUUGAUUUAGAAUAUCAAUAUAUUGUUGUUCAUCGUUUUUAUAUUAAUCAUUCUAUGUUGCCAAAUGAGCAAAAUACUAUCUUGAAUAAAAUUGUUGUAUUUUUUUAUUAAUUGAUUUGAUUCUUUCCAUUUUUCAGUUUUUGAUCUAAAAUGGAUAAAGAGAUUGUUAAUGAUAAUAAAUAAAUUAUUAAUAUAAUUUUCUACUUAUAUAAAAUGGAUCCAUUUUUGGUGAGGUGUCAUCUAGCCGUCCGUCUAUGGCGUCGAUUCUCAGCCGUAUAAUUCCAAGCCGUGUACAUUUUCUGUCUUGUCUCCAUGCCGUGUACUGUAGAUGUACCGUUCGUAGGCGUCUUGUCAUACCUGCCACUGUUUGGCAUGUAGAUUCACGCCCAGAAUUUUGCCAUGACGUUCUUCCCCUCACGUAGAUUCAGUACUAAACAACGACCAUACGAUUUCGAUCCUCAUUCAUCUGGACAACCAUCUGCAUCGGGCAGGAGUUGCGGACGUCUGUACAGGAAGGGGGGUGUAUAUAAAAUAUGGACUAAUACUCGGUAUUAGACCCACAGUAAAAAUAUAUUGGAUAGAUAUCCAUUAGAUAACUUACAUAGUAAGGUAACUUUUACCGGAAGGAAAAGAUAAGGUUAUCUAUUUUACAGAACUUAUCUCAAUGUAAUAGCAUAUAUAAAGAACAUUCAUCAAUGAGAAUAAGUAAUCUGUUUU
RNAcentral lists this long non-coding RNA (1152 nucleotides) under Zostera marina. RNAcentral describes it as "long non-coding RNA (ZMAR_LNC000881)". The record is from RNAcentral. Lineage: Eukaryota; Viridiplantae; Streptophyta; Magnoliopsida; Alismatales; Zosteraceae.